RNAcentral lists this ribosomal RNA (294 nucleotides) under uncultured bacterium. Its description in RNAcentral is "partial 16S ribosomal RNA". It matches the Rfam family "Bacterial small subunit ribosomal RNA", at positions 775 to 1067 of the family's 1533-position model. The record is from RNAcentral.
GGAUUAGAUACCCUGGUAGUCCAUGCCGUAAACGUUGGGAACUAGAUGUAGGGCCUGUUCCACGGGUUCUGUGUCGUAGCUAACGCAUUAAGUUCCCCGCCUGGGGAGUACGGCCGCAAGGCUAAAACUCAAAGGAAUUGACGGGGGCCCGCACAAGCGGCGGAGCAUGCGGAUUAAUUCGAUGCAACGCGAAGAACCUUACCAAGGCUUGACAUAGCCGAGAACGCUGUAGAGAUACAGAACUCUUUGGACACUCGGUUACAGGUGGUGCAUGGUUGUCGUCAGCUCGUGCCG